AACGAACGCUGGCGGCAUGCCUAACACAUGCAAGUCGAACGAGACCUUCGGGUCUAGUGGCGCACGGGUGCGUAACGCGUGGGAACCUGCCCUUAGGUUCGGAAUAACUCCCCGAAAGGGGUGCUAAUACCGGAUAAUGUCUUCGGACCAAAGAUUUAUCGCCUUUGGAUGGGCCCGCGUUGGAUUAGCUAGUUGGUAGGGUAAAAGCCUACCAAGGCGACGAUCCAUAGCUGGUCUGAGAGGAUGAUCAGCCACACUGGGACUGAGACACGGCGCAGACUACUACGGGAGGCAGCAGUGGGGAAUAUUGGAAAAUGGGCGAAAGCCUGAUCCAGCAAUGCCGCGUGAGUGAUGAAGGCCUUAGGGUUGUAAAGCUCUUUUACCCGGGAUGAUAAUGACAGUACCGGGAGAAUAAGCUCCGGCUAACUCCGUG
This 433-nucleotide ribosomal RNA is filed under the name uncultured bacterium. Its description in RNAcentral is "partial 16S ribosomal RNA". It matches the Rfam family "Bacterial small subunit ribosomal RNA", at positions 29 to 507 of the family's 1533-position model. The record is from RNAcentral.